UACGUAGGGUGCAGGCGUUAAUCGGAAUUACUGGGCGUAAAGCGUGCGCAGGCGGUUUCUUAAGUCAGAUGUGAAAGCCCCGGGCUUAACCUGGGAACUGCGUUUGAAACUGGGAGACUUGAGUGUGGCAGAGGGGGUGGAAUUCCCGGUGUAGUAGUGAAAUGCGUAGAUAUCGGGAGGAACACCAGUGGCGAAGGCGGCCUUCUGGCUCGCAACUGACGCUGUAGCGCGAAAGCGUGGGGAGCGAACGGG
Molecule: ribosomal RNA, 252 nt
Filed under: uncultured bacterium
Lineage: Bacteria
Description: partial 16S ribosomal RNA
Rfam family: Bacterial small subunit ribosomal RNA
Source: RNAcentral